Molecule: ribosomal RNA, 445 nt
Filed under: uncultured bacterium
Lineage: Bacteria
Description: partial 16S ribosomal RNA
Rfam family: Bacterial small subunit ribosomal RNA
Source: RNAcentral
GUGAGGAAUAUUGCGCAAUGGAGGCAACUCUGACGCAGCCAUGCCGCGUGCAGGAAGAAGGCGCUACGCGUUGUAAACUGCUUUUAACCGGGAAGAAACCCCAGGACGUGUCCUGGGUUGACGGUACCGGAGGAAUAAGCACCGGCUAACUUCGUGCCAGCAGCCGCGGUAAUACGAAGGGUGCAAGCGUUAUCCGGAUUCAUUGGGUUUAACGGGUGCGUAGGCGGAGCUGUAAGUCAGUGGUGAAAUCCUGCAGCUUAACUGUAGACUUGCCAUUGAUACUGGCGCUCUUGAGUGCGCUUGAAGUGGGCGGAAUGUGCCGUGUAGCGGUGAAAUGCUUAGAUAUGGCACAGAACACCAAUUGCGAAGGCAGCUCACUAAGGCGAUACUGACGCUGAGGCACGAAAGCGUGGGGAUCGAACAGGAUUAGAAACCCCUGUAGUCC